This 73-nucleotide transfer RNA is filed under the name Uroplatus fimbriatus (common flat-tail gecko). RNAcentral's name for it is "tRNA-Gln". It matches the Rfam family "tRNA". From Rfam's summary of the family: Transfer RNA (tRNA) molecules are approximately 80 nucleotides in length. The record is from RNAcentral. Lineage: Eukaryota; Metazoa; Chordata; Lepidosauria; Squamata; Gekkonidae.
CUGGGGGCAGUAUAUGGUGGAUGUACAUAAAAUUUUGGAUUUUGAAGCGCAGGUUCGAUACCUGUCCCUUAGG